AGUGAACGCUGGCGGUAGGCCUAACACAUGCAAGUCGAACGGCAGCACAGUAAGAGCUUGCUCUUACGGGUGGCGAGUGGCGGACGGGUGAGGAAUACAUCGGAAUCUACUUUUUCGUGGGGGAUAACGUAGGGAAACUUACGCUAAUACCGCAUACGACCUACGGGUGAAAGCAGGGGAUCUUCGGACCUUGCGCGAUUGAAUGAGCCGAUGUCGGAUUAGCUAGUUGGCGGGGUAAAGGCCCACCAAGGCGACGAUCCGUAGCUGGUCUGAGAGGAGGAUCAGCAACACUGGAACUGAGAAACGGUCCAGACUCCUACGGGAGGCAGCAGUGGGGAAUAUUGGACAAUGGGCGAAAGCCUGAUCCAGCCAUACAGCGUGGGUGAAGAAGGCCUUCGGGUUGUAAAGCCCUUUUGUUGGGAAAGAAAAGCAGCAGGUUAAUACCCCGCUGUUCUGACGGUACCCAAAGAAUAAGCACCGGCUAACUUCGU
This 491-nucleotide ribosomal RNA is filed under the name uncultured bacterium. RNAcentral describes it as "partial 16S ribosomal RNA". It matches the Rfam family "Bacterial small subunit ribosomal RNA", at positions 29 to 506 of the family's 1533-position model. The record is from RNAcentral.